This 422-nucleotide ribosomal RNA is filed under the name uncultured eukaryote. RNAcentral's name for it is "SSU rRNA". It matches the Rfam family "Eukaryotic small subunit ribosomal RNA", at positions 426 to 870 of the family's 1831-position model. The record is from RNAcentral.
CAGCAGGCGCGAAAAUUGCCCAAUCCUGAUUCAGGGAGGCAGUGACAAGAAAUAACAACUCUCAACAUUGUUGAGAAGUGUAAUGAGGAUAAUUUACAAACCUUACCGAAAGCAAUUGGAGGGCAAGUCUGGUGCCAGCAGCCGCGGUAAUUCCAGCUCCAAAAGCGUAUAUUAAAGUUGUUGCAGUUAAAAAGCUCGUAGUUGAAGUUCUGGCUGUAUUGGGCCUCUGCACUUGAUGCGAAGGAACCAGCAGUCAUCCGCUUGCAAAUACAUGUUCUUCCUUAACCGGUAGACUGUAUAAGUAAGCAAUUUACCUUGAGAAAAACAGAGUGUUCCAGGCAGGUUUGUCCGGAAUGCAUUAGCAUGGAAUAAUAGAAUAUGACUAGAGUCGAUUUGUUGGUUAAAGGCGUUUAGUAAUGAUU